Molecule: ribosomal RNA, 132 nt
Filed under: Triticum aestivum (bread wheat)
Lineage: Eukaryota; Viridiplantae; Streptophyta; Magnoliopsida; Poales; Poaceae
Description: partial small subunit ribosomal RNA
Source: RNAcentral
GUUGAUUGUUAUCCGAAUAUCUUCAUUGCUUAUCGCGUCUUAUUUACUGUGUCUGUGACGGUCGUAUUGACUGAAAGAAUUUUCUCAAAGCUGGAAUUGUUGAAGAAUUAUUUGAGGUCAACAAUGACAUGA